Molecule: ribosomal RNA, 787 nt
Filed under: uncultured Neocallimastigales
Lineage: Eukaryota; Fungi; Neocallimastigomycota; Neocallimastigomycetes; Neocallimastigales
Description: partial large subunit ribosomal RNA
Rfam family: Eukaryotic large subunit ribosomal RNA
Source: RNAcentral
AUAGAGACUCAGAGCUGCAUAUCAAUAAGCGGAGGAAAAGAAACUAACUAGGAUUCCCUUAGUAACGGCGAGUGAAGCGGGAAGAGCUCAAAUUUGAAAUCUUCAAGGUUCUACCUUGACGAAUUUGUAGUUUAAAGAAGUGUUUUCUGUUGGAGUUUUGGUAAAAGUUCUUUGGAAGUAGGACAUCAUAGAGGGUGAGAAUCCCGUAUUUGACCAUUAUUUUCCAGCUUUGUGAUACACUUUCAAAGAGUCGGAUUGUUUGGGAAUGCAGUCCAAAAUGGGUGGUAAAUUUCAUCUAAAGCUAAAUAUUGGCGAGAGACCGAUAGCGAACAAGUACCGUGAGGGAAAGAUGAAAAGAACUUUGAAAAGAGAGUUAAACAGUACGUGAAAUUGUCAAAAGGGAAGCGUUUGACACCAGUGUUGUUUUCUCGAAAAUCAAUUAAAAAGGAGUUGAUUUUGUUGUGUAUUGACCUUAUCAGCUUUUCAUUGCAAUUUUCUUCGAGUCUUUUUUAAUGCACUUUUCGGUUAACAAGUCAACAUCAAUUUCUUUUGUUGUAAAAGAGUCAUUCGGAAGGUGGCUUUCUUUUCGGAGAAAGUGUUUAUAGCCCUUAUACUCCUACAAUCGGAGAGACUGAGGUCUGCAGCGUAGAUCCUUCGGGGUUAGAUACACUUUGUGCUAAGUUAGUAGCUUUUUAUAGACAACUUGUUGACUAUGAUUAGUCAUUGUAGGCUUACUCGCUUAUGCUAUUUUACCUACGCUUAGGAUGUUGACGAUCAGCUGAGCGCG